This 22876-nucleotide long non-coding RNA is filed under the name Setaria italica (foxtail millet). Its description in RNAcentral is "long non-coding RNA (SITA_LNC005181)". The record is from RNAcentral. Lineage: Eukaryota; Viridiplantae; Streptophyta; Magnoliopsida; Poales; Poaceae.
GUGAUCCUUUUAGUAGGUACCGCAGUUGUUGAUGCCCAAGGGAAUGCUGAAGCCGAAUUUACUCUUCGAGGGAUCAAAACAAAUAAUCCUACUACGUUUGGUGACAAUAUUCCCCACUCUAGUGACAAGGAAAAACGAAAACAGCUAACCUCUGCCCGUGUACUAACAGCCCAAUUUGCAAAACAGAUAAUAUCUCGUGAAGACUACUGCAGGUCGGUUAAAUGUCCUUAGUGAAAAAUGGGAUAUACCUAUGGAUGUCCUGGAGUAACAGCAGCUUUCUUCAGGGCCAAUGUUAAGGCCAGUUAAUAGAAUAAAGCACCAGGACUUAAUCAUAAAUGUGAAAAUAUGUACACACUGAACCCUUCUAUGUCAAUGGAAGACUGGUCAUAUAUAAUAAAAUGAAAGUACGUUAACUCUUGUGUUAUGGACUACUUUGUUGUUAGCUUAUUUACUCCGCUAUUGUUUGAAAUGUGUUAUCAUGUAUACACACAUUAGACUGUCUUCCUUGAAUAAUUUUUAUCCAAUGUUCUUGUAGUGUUGAUAUAUUCGAAAUUAUUACUGUAAACACAGCUUACAAAUGAUAAUGUUAUAAUUGAAUUCUGGGAUCUAACGAUUCUUAAUGCUGUAAUGCCUGCUAGCUCAUCACAAGUUUAGGGGGUGUUUGGUUUGGGGCUGCUAAACUCUAGGGAUUAAAGUUUAUCCCUAAACUAUCAAACAUGUGACUAAAAGUUGCUAAAGUCCCUAAAGUUUAGCCCUUUAGUCCCCAAGAGGUUGCUAAAAGGGACUAAAGGAGACCUUGGAUAAGAUCCACCCCUCAUUAAUGCCGCCCGGCCCCCGCCGUCACCCCGACCGCCCUCCCGCCCGCCGUCACCGCUGCGGUCCUCCUUCCGGCCCGGCCCCCGCCGUCGUCGCUCCUACCGCCCUCCCGCCCGUCACCCCCACCGCCGGCCUCCCUCCCACCCGGCCCCCACCGUUGUGGAGGAGGAAGCGCGGCGGGGAUGCCGGAGGGGGAGGCGCACAUGACGAAGCCGGCGUGCUAAGCGUCCUUGUGGGGAUGCCGGAGCGCGGCGGGGAUGCCGGAGGCGAGGGCCAUUGGGGGACGCGGCUGCGAGCGAGACGCUGCCGGCCGCGGCCUUCCUCCAGGUGGGCGUAGGCCACCUCGUACCCGUCCGGCGCGCUGUGGGUGUCGUGGCGGUGGGCAUGCACGAACCCGACGACGGUGACCUCGCGCUAGUGGCCGUGGAAGUCAUCGUCGACGAGGACCUCCACCUCUGCGCCGGGGGCAAAUGGGGCCCUCACAGGGCGGCGAAUGGGGCCCUCACAGGGCCCGGCGGCAGCGGCCAUUGGGGUGGGGAUUCGGGAGUGCGAGUGGGAGGGAGUGGAGUAGGGUUUAGUGGUAGUUUGAUCUUUGUUCAACUGAUUUAAUGGUCUUUAGUUACUGGAACCAAACACGGGGAGUAAAGUUUAGUCCAGUGAAUAGGUGUGGCACUGUGCUAGACUGCUAGUGCUAGUAGGUAUGGGUAGCACAGUUCAGACGUAGCUAGGCACGUGUCGAUAUGUAACUGGGCACAAACACUGCCUCCAGCAAUAGUUGAAUCUUGAGUUGAAUGGAACCUUUGCCCCCAAAGUAAAGUCACAUGCGCAAAAGCUAUGUGAUUCUCAUCCUCUCGCUCAUGUUCAGUCUUCCAUAUAGGUCCCACGUAUGACAUAAUAUAUCAAUAAAACAAAUUAUCUGUUUAGGCUUUCUGGUCUUCCCGCUCCCAGACUCCCACGUUAUCUCGUGCUAAGAAAAGCUAUCGCAUGUUUAUCUUGAGCGUGAGAACACGUUAAUAAAAAGGAAUAUACAUCAUAACCUAAAAAGAUCAUAUCGAUUGCAAUUAAUAAAAAGGUAAAUUCAGAAUAAUAAAGCUAUAGGCUGCUUCCUCCGGUUAUUAUACCUUAUGGUUGUGAUUAGUUCCCUGCACAUACCAUACCCCUGGACAAGCUUCGGCAAUGCAGCAUGCGCAUGAUUGGAUACCUGCGUUUGCCUCUAAGCUUGCCUCAAAUAGUGCAAAAGAUGGGCUGUUGCCUGUCUUCCCGGCAACGCAGUGAGCGAGCGUUUCCACUGAUGAUGGCUUGCACAAGGCUCGGUGGUCUGAUAUGAUGGGGUGGUAGCUUCACCUAUAACGAAUACAAUGUCAUCUUAUCAUAUUGUGCAGCCAACCAAAUAUGAACAUAGCUUACCAAGCUAUCUUUAGCUACCCAACCAAACACGAGCAUCUUACAUUAAUUUAGUCGGAUGAAGAUUGACAUGAGUUAAAGCUAGCUUGACUUAGGAACUAGUGCAACCCAUCACUACCUAAAGGAUCCCAACUAUCCAAACAAGUCCGAAGGAGCGCAGUCUGCGAGUCAUGUCGACACCACUGCAAGUAUGCAGAACAAGAGCGACGAGUCGACGACAGCAUAUACAGCAGACCGAGUCCAAAACAGACAGCACUCACAGCAGCACGCCAAGCAUAGGAAAAAGAUCAAAAAAAAAAAGAAGCCAUCAAGAACGAUUCUCAAGAAAAAUGAAUGGCAUGUCGCAGCCGGUCUUAGUUUGUCAAGAUUGAAGUGUCUUAGUUUUGUCUUAAGUCAAAUUACUUUAAUUACCUCAAUAGGAUUACUCUUCUAUUAGUGCCUUUUCAUAGAUUUUAGAUAUGCUGGUUAAUUCAGCAACGCCAUCUCUCGUCACCACCAUUGUUGUCAGAUUGUUGUCAGGGAGCACGGCAAACUCUAUUAAAUUACAUGCACUACGGAAACCAGAAACUUUGCCAAGUGCCACGGGCACUCGGCAAAGACACGAAAACACUCGGCAAACAGCACACGGCAAAUUUCCUAUCGGUAAAGCCUAGUUUGCCGAGUGUCAAAACUCGAGCACUCGGCAAACAUUUUGCCGACAGCCAAAAAACACUCGGCGAAAAUAUGUACUCGGCGAAAUACGCGCUGACGGCGUCGGGGGUAACGGCGGGUUUGCCGAGUGCCAGACGGUAGACACUCGGCAAACAUAGCGUCUUUGCCGAGUGCCAACACUCGGCAAACAGGGGGUGUUUGCCGAGUGUCAGGGAGUGGGCACUCGGCAAAGCCGGCUUGUUUGCCGAGUGUCUUUGCCCCUGGCACUCGGCAAACAUGGGGUCUUUGCCGAGUGUCAGGGGGUGGGCACUCGGCAAAAAACCUGUCGUGCAGCUGGGAAUUAGGGCCUUUGCCGAGUGCCUUGUCCCUGGCACUCGGCAAACAAGGGGUCUUUGCCGAGUGCCUUGUCCCUGGCACUCGGCAAACAACCUGUCCUACACCUGGGAAAUGCAUCUUUGCCGAGUGUUAAAGUCAAAACACUCGGCAAAGGACCCUCUUUGCCGAGUGUUACACUCGGCAAAGUGACCAGAACCCCCCCUUUUUCCCCGUUUUCCCAGGUAUAACGGACCCCUCUCAAUUCACAAUACACAUCAUCACAGGCAUUUGUAAUAAACAAUCACAUGCAUAAUUCACAACCACCAUUAGAAACAUUAUUCAUAAACACCACAGGCAUAAUUCAACAUAAGCACGUAACAAUCCAUAAAUUCAAGUUCAAGUCACAAUGUAGUUUCAACCAAGUUCACAACCAAGUCUAGUUCCGUGGAUAAUUCACAAACACCAGCGGUCGAACCGUGACUCGGGAGCCCGGUUUUAUACCGGUUUUCCCCCUAAACCCGGUGGUCCGAACGGUUUAUCCCGGUUCAGUUGCACGGGCGAUCUUUUACGUGGAUCGGACCGGCGGGGGCUCCAGUUCCCGGUUUUUUCGGUCCGACUGCCGGUCCGGUCCUAAUAACUAGGGUUUAAACUCCCGUCUCGACUGGGGUUCGAAGCCUGGGGGGAGUUUUAUUUAGCAACAGUAUAUGUAGCAUGUAGCAACCAUCAAAUUGAAAGGAGUACAAUGAUUCAACAUGAUUUUUGCAUUACAAAUGUUGUGACCAAGUCAGGUCAUAGUUUGUAAUCGCAAAAUAAUGAAAAGAACAACUAGAGGUUUCUGUGUCCUUUCAAUGUUUAUACUAGGUCAUCCAAGUGACUACAUCCCCUAUUGCUUCACCCAAUUUAUAAGUUGGAUCUCUCAACCAACAGUGAAUCAUCUUUUGAUUUCAAUACGGUAAUGGUCUUCCAUAAACUGUUCUAUACCAAUUCUAAAUCAUCAAUCGUUUCCAGAUUAAUCUACUCAAGUUGCAAAUGAGCUCAGAUACCUUCCACAUCCAUCAAUUUAAAUGACAAUAACAAGAUAUUACUAACAGUCCUCCAUGCAAAUCAAGUGCUAGAGGAAAUGUCCAACAUGAAACUUAUGGAUACCAUGUGCAAGAUGGAAUGUAAGUUGUUUGGAAAAUACUCCAUUCAGACACAAAAAAGUUCACAUUUUGGACAUGGACAAGGUCUCCAAACACAAUAUUGACUACUAUCUCUGUUUGCUCUGUAUGUUCAUAACCUAAUAAACAGAAAUAUUUCUACCCAAUAUUUCACGCGCACACAUUUCAUAUAGCCAAUGUAAACACACAUGAAGGUGUAGUCGUAGUAAAAAUAUUUAAACUGGUUUCAGAGUUCUACAAACUGGUUUCUUUUCGAUUACUACACUUUUUUGUGACCCUAACUUUUGUUUUAUGGAUGCAGCAAACAAGUUAGGUGUCUCGGGAAGUAUUUAAGCAUCAGUUUUAUUUGGAACUGCUUUAAAUGGUUCUUCAGUGGUGUUGGAGAUUCUUGUGGUUUCGAUAAAUUCCCUUCUUUGGGACUUGAAGCAUUUAAGAAUACGUAAGUUUGCUGUGACUGUUUUUGAUAUUCCAUUAAAGUUCAUGAGUAAAGGCUUGACUGCUAGAUCUGAUCUAAUGACAUGAAAGUACACAUGGAAUAUCAUUGGUACAUCCUCCAGAAAAACUGAAAAUUCCACUCUCUGUAGGUUUUAUUUUGACUUCAGUCCAACCUACAUUGGAUGCGGUCUUAUUUGUCCACACAUUGUUAACUGCUCUACACUUCUUGGUGCCAUCAUAUCGUGGGGUUUCCUUUGGCCAUAUAUAUCAACAAAAGCUGGGGACUGGUAUCCAGCUAACCUAGGAAGCAAUGACUUCAAAGGACUUUAUGGAUACAAGGUGUGGUGAUUGAAAGUUUUAUUUGUUACAUGCCAUUGGUUAAUGCUUCUUUCCAUACUUCAUUUUGACAGUCAACUAGUAAUCUUCUUUAUUCAAUUGUUCUAGAGGCAAUGAAUCACAAGGCAUGAAUGAUAAAAGGAAAUAGUUUUUCUUCUCUCCAUGCUUAUAAACCUUAAAAUCUAAAAGAAAUUUUGGCUGCUGAUGUGAUCCUAGAGUAAUCAAUGUUUCAUUGGUGGACAUAGUGUUGGUGAGAACCGUGAAAUUUGGUUCAAGACUGAUAACUCAGUGCUGAAAGCAUAGAGUGUCUAGUCAGCCUUACAUCUUAAUUGUAUUUGUUAUGCAUUUAUAUAGUGAAAUAACUUAUGGAUAGCAUAUCUAGCUCAUUUAGUUCCUAGAGAAUUUUUGGUUUACAUGGUGAUCACUGAUCAGUCUUCACAACUUUAGUUCACCAACAUUAAGCUGUAUUUCUUCCCUGUGUUCCAGGUUUUUAUAUCUGUAUCUGUGAUACUUGGGGAUGGUCUCUAUAAUCUCAUCAAGAUCAUUUAUGCUACUAUCAAGGAAAUAAUGAAUGCACGGGCGAAGCAAGGAAGACUUCCACUUGGCCGGGUUCAGGAUGGUAAUGUGAUUUUCCUAUCACUACCGGAAACAGUAAAUUCGCCGAGUGUAAAAAUUUUGCCGAGUGCUUUCCUUCGAGCACUCGACAAACAACCUUUUUGCCGAGUGUAUUGAACGCGACACUCGGCAAACAUAUUACACUCGGCAAUAAGGUCAUUUGCCGAGUGCCGUAAAUUCGACACUCGGCAAACCUCUCAGUGACACUCGGCAAAAGUCCGACACUCGGUAAAUCAACGGCGCGUGCAUCGCACGUGCGCCGUCCGUCACCGGACUGGGGCGGCCGUUAGUCCUUUGCCGAGUGUUGGACUCCGACACUCGGCAAAGAGGCCCUUCGCCGAGUGCCACCCUCCCACACUCGGCAAAUCCAGAAGGUCGCCGAGUGCCAACGCAAGACACUCGGCAAAUGUGUCACUUCGCCGAGUGCCUCACCCUGGACACUCGGCAAACAUAUUACUUCACCGAGUGUAAAAAUUUGGCACUCGGCGAACAAAAAAAAAAUUUCGUCCCCCGGCCUCCACACUUUUUCUACUCCCCACGUAGGAGAUUUUGUAAUCCAUAAUAAAAGUUGGUAUAUUUUGUGGUCUGUUUGCUAUUUUUAAUGAAAUGAUUGCAUUAAUAGGAAUUUUUUUAUUCAUGUCAGAUUUUAACUGCAGGUACAUGAAAGGAUGGUUUAUAAUCAGUGGAAAAAUUAUAUCCAUAUUAUGGAGUCCGGAUUGAGUUCUCAACCAGGAAAUGAAAACAAAUUUUCAACAUUGUUAUUAAAAAACACGACCACGAACGUGUGGUUGAAUGGUUGUUAAAUUCUAAAAAAAGCAAACGAAAUCUGAAAAUCACAAGAUUUGUCAAGAUGUCAUGAUAUUAUGUGUGGAGGCUGUGGUAAAAAAUUGAGAAGGUUUCGCCCAAUUUCUAACAUAGGAUGCUUAGAAGCUGACUCAUCUCCUGGAAGGAUUCAUAGAAGUUAGAGAGGACACAAUAAGAUUUAUAGUCCAAGUGACACUUGAGUUAAGGUUUGGCUUCAAAUCUUUUUGUAUAGACAACAUACAACACAGAUUGGUUCGUGUCAAAAUUUGGAAAUUUUUCGGAUGCGUUUACUAUUUUUUAUUGAUUAAAUGCAAUUAUAGAUUUUUAGUAGAUAUAAAUGCAAUUUGCGCUAUAACUGCAUGAAAUAAUAGAACAUUAUCUGUAGAAAAAUAAUUGUUGAGUGAUGUUCACACGAUUUUGCCCAAGUAUAUUAGAAAAAGAUAUGUAAAACAGGUUGUCGAAGAAGGUACAUGAAAUAUUAGUCUAUUUUGCCGAGUGUAUAAAAAAACACUCGGCAAAAGCUACCUUACCGAGUGUUUUCCACAUACACUCGGCAAAAAGGGGUACAUUCGGCAAAGAAGGUACACGGGCCCACUGGCAGUAUUCUCCUCUUCCUUUAAAAAAAGAAAAAUGUGGCAUUGCCGAGUGCCUUGGAUCUGGCACUCGGCAAAGAAAGAAGGUUUGCCGAGUGCCAGAUCGCAGGCCCUCGGCAAUGUACCUGGCAGGUCGAAUUUCGUGCGCCAACAGAUUUAAAAAAAAUUGAAUCUUUACUUUGCCAAGUGCCAGAUCGCGGGCACUCGGCAAAGAACCGGACUUACAUUUUCAGCCGAACCGCCGCGCGCGGCCUGGCCUCUAUCCUAAAAUCGAAACCACUACGCUCCUGUCUCGCCCGCCACCGCCACCCGCUGCCCGCCGCCGCCGCCCGCUACCCGCCGGCCACCAUCGCCCGCCGCGCUCGCCCGUCGCCGACGCCCCGGUGCCCCCACCCACGGCCCCGGUGCCCCGCCCCGCCGCCCCGACGCCCCGCGCCCUUGGCGCCCCGCAGCCCCUUGCCCGCCGCCCGUGCCCCGGUGCGCCGACACCCGCUCCGGCCCCGGCGCCCCGCCCCAGAGCCCCGGCGCCCCGACGCCCUGGGUCCGGCGACCCCGCCGCCAGCCCCGGCGCCCCCUGCCCGGUGCCCCAGCCCACCGGCCGCCCCCGCCCCAGCCCCGGCGCCCCCUGCCCCGCGGCCCGCCCCACCGGCCGCCCCCGCCCUGGCCCACUGGCCGCCCCCCCCGGCCCCAGCGGCCCCGGCACCGGCGCCCCCGGCCUCCCCGGCCCGUGCCCCCCUGCCACCGGCGUCGUGGACCUUGGUGCCCCGCCCCUGACGCUCCCGCCGCCGCUGGACGUCCAUCGACUUUCUAGGCCGGCGUCCCUCACCCUCCCGGUAAUGAAUAUUUCUUUUUCAAGUUACAAAUUCAGAAUUAGGAAGUAGGUUAAAAUUAGAAAUUAGAAAUUAGAAAUUGUAGGGCUGUAGUUGUAGAAAUUAGAAAAUGAUGUUUUGCUUGAGAAUCUAAGGUAUAAGAAUGUUUGUGGAAGUCAGCCAUCGUGCCGUUCCGUCUUUUGUACAUGUGGUUGUCGGCCAUCGUGCCGUUUCAUUUGAUGCAGGUUAUGGUAACCUCCACGUGCAGGGGAGGUGCUGCCGAAAAUUUUAGUUGACAGUUGUAUGUUCUUUUUUUGCAGGAGAGGCUACGUUACCGUCCUCGAGUCGUCACUUUGUACAAUAGCAAGGUGAGUCAUCCUAUACCUCUAUUGAUACGUGUGACAGCGAUGAUGAUGAGACUUAUGAUCCAGCUAAUCCUAAUCAUGACGAUUAUUUCUAAGACAUGUAUGGGCCGUACAAAUUUAUUUAUUAUUUGUCAUACCAUGUUAUUUAUUAAGUAUGUUUACUUUAUUUUGCACAUCUUAUACAUUAUGUUUUGUUUAUCUGUGCUAAUUGGUUAACUCUUGGCAAAUGCAGGUGACUUAACAAUGGUGGGCAGUACGAGGAAGAUUGUAGCGCUUUACGAAAAAUUAAAAGUUGCAGCUUCAGGGUCAGGUACAAGGUCAGACGCAUCUUGAGGUCGAGGGAGGCGUCGAGGGAGGGGUGGAGGCAAGGGUGAUGCACAGGCCGAGGAAACGGAGGGAGCACAGGUCCUUGCUAGAGGCAGGGGUCGGGGCAGGGGUCGAGGAAAGGGUAAAGGGGUGAGGCCCCCCUCGCCUGCGCCUUUGUCGUCGUUGGAGGAGGAGGUACCUUCCGCGCACGCUUCUAGUGACGAGGCGGAGUUACAGCAGGAGCAGGAGCAGGAGCAGGAGAGGGAGGCAGUUGAGGAGGCAGGGGAUUCGUAGUCCAAGAUCUGGUUGCGAGGUCCCUCGUCCCUCCUGAGGCGACCGAUCCCUCUUCAUUUACGCCCACUGAUUCAACCCACUGGGGCAAAGUAAGUUCCUUUACAUAUUCUCAGUACUUUUGAUAUGUUGAAAUUUACAAUAGAAACUAAUAAUGUAUAUUACUCACUUGUGCAGGAGUUGGACUAAGCUCAGUGGGGGUGCCCACAACCGCAAGGUCAACGGCAUCAUCGAUCUUUUGUGUAGGCUACACUUCCCUGGUCUAGUGGUCUUCGCCGGACAGGAGGAGCCGGCCUACACGUGGGACCACUACGUCGCCGCCGCCGACGUCGGUGAUCGUGACCACAGGCAAUUUGCGAACAAGGCGGAGCGGGUGAAGGCUGAGCUGUGGGUAAGUAUUCGAAGCACUAGAUUGCUUAAUACACAAGUUUCUCUAGACAUUCUUGAAAAAAUACUUGUUUGCAAUGUGUCUAUACGCAGGACUUUUAUAGAUGCCAAGAGGGAUUCAAGGCUAGGGCGGCCUCCGUCAUUGAACAAGCCGCCAAGAAGCUCGUUAAGGACAUGCACUACGAGGCGCGGGUUCAGGCCAUCAUCGACUUCUAUGCUGAAUACAGAAGGAUGAGGGUAAAAAAAGAAGAGGCCAGGACAAUGAACCUGACCAAGGAAGAAUUCAUGAUGGUACGUACAGAAAGUUAAUAUUUAGUAUUUCUGAGAUUAAUUACGCUUCACUUCUUUUGUUAUAUGUCACACACUUGAUGAUGUAGGUGCCUCCGUGGUGGUGCCGAUCCUUUACCCGGUGCUGGGAACAAAUGGUGGACGUGUGGUUGCAGCCCGGGUGGUUGGAGAACCACAUUGCUUGCCGGGAGCGGCGUCUGCAGAUGCCAUAUGCACCACACCAUCAAGGCAGCCUGAGCCUUGAUGAAUACAAGAAAAAAUGGGUACGUGAAUUCAUUUCUUUAUUCUCACAUAUAAUGCACAUAAUACUGCAUAUUUUGUAAUCCUUUUGUAUUUUUGCCGCAGACGUCAUCACAUGAAGGCCAGGAGUGCUCCCGGUUCAAGGCAUGGGUUAUGUCCAAAAAGGGCAAGGCCUCGGCAGACAUCGACUUCAACCCGGAGGACCCGCCCGAGGCAUACAGCCAUCCCAGCAUCCACAGCCGCGUCACCGAAUACACAGCAAUGGCGAGGGAGGUUCAUGGGCCAGAGUUCGAUCCGAGCUCUCAGGAUAUUGAUCCUGAAAUUGUGAUGAGGGUAGGAGGAGGGAAGAAGCAUGGUAGAUACUGGAUUGGAGAUAGCGUGAUCGACACUGCCAGUACUCCCACCCUCUCCCAGAUCCGAGCAAGGAGCACGGACUCGAGCCCCGCGAUACGGGCACGGCCUACCGCUGCACAGUUACAGAUGCAGGCUCUGCAGGUUAUUCCUGUUUCUUUAAUUUUUCAUUCAUUUUGUACAUAUCUUUUGCUUGGCAAUAAGACAUUGGGAUGAAAUAUUGUAGGCCCAGGUGGAGGUAGAACGGAAGCGCCGGGAGGAACUAGAGGCGAGGAUCGAGGCGGAUCGGCAGCUAGAAAGGUAGAGGACGGAGCAGAUGUUCCAAUACAUGCAGAGUGUCUUUCACAGUUCAGGUCAGACUCCACCACCUAUGCCACCGAACCUGUUCCCGUCACCUCGACCACCUCCUGCAGCUACUCCUGUGAGUCACUCUCAACCUUACAAUCAAUCUAGAGUUAAACUAGAAAGUACAUGCAUUACAGACUUACACUAGAAAAGUGACUAAUGCAAUCUCUAUAACUUUGUGCAGAAUCAAUCGGCGGCGUCCAAUGCAGAAUCUUCUUGGGGGCAGUGGCCACCUGCACAUACUCCUUAGCCUCCUCAUCCACCUCAUCCUCCUCAGUGACUUGUGAACUAGAGGUGUUAGCUGUGGUAAAACUUGUGAAUUACCUGUUUCGACGAGAACUUGUGAAUAUUAUUUGUGUGCUUGUGGUGCAAUUUAUAUGCCUGUGGUGUAAUUUAUAUGCAUGUGCUUCUCUGGUUGUUUUUUUGAGAGGGUCUUUUAUACGUAACAUUUUUGUUUUGUAGGAGGAGCUCGGGCACUUUGCCAAGUGUUAACACUCGGCAAAUAGGCCAUUUUCUGUUGCAUCGACGUCUUUGCCGAGUGCAUUGCCAAAACACUCGGCAAAGGCAUCAUAAAAUUUUUGCAGGUUUGGCCCGUUUGCCGAGUGUCAAGAGGAAGGCACUCGGCAAAAUAUGCAACUUUGCCGAGUGCCACUAGGAAACACUCGGCAAACGGCUGAAAUAAAUCUGGCGGGGUGGGGCCUAUUUGCCGAGUGCCGCAUAAAAUACACUCGAGAGUUCCUGUUUGCCGAGUGUCAUCAAAAAAUACACUCGGCAAACUGUGUACGUUCACCGAGUGCAAUGUAUAAAUACACUCGGCAAAAUUUAAGGGUUCGCCGAGUGUCUGCCGUCUGACACUCGGCAAAGUAGCUGUUACCAUCGCUGACCGUUACCGCCUUUGUGCCGAGUGUUAUAUUUUGCCGAGUGUUUUGUGGCACUCGGCAAAGUCUUUGCCGAGUGCCCGAUGGUCGACACUCGGCAAACACACUGUUUGCCGGAGGGAACUUUGCCGAGUAGAGUUCGCCGAGUGUUACACUCGGCAAACCCUUUGCCGAGUGUAUUUGGCCCUUCGCCGAGUGCCUGGGGCACUCGGCAAAGUUACUGUUUCCGGUAGUGUAUGUUAUGCUUCUUACAUAUCCAUCAAUAUAGCAGGAUCUUAUGCUUCAUUCUUGAACAGAUGAUGAAGGUUCUAAAUUAUCAGCUGAAGAAAAGUUUCUGAAUGAGACAUUCAUAAAGGACAGUAUCCCUCCCUGGUUGGCAGGAUCUGGCAUUGGUAGAGAAUUGGCCUUUAGUCCCGGUUGGUAGGGUGCAUAUCUCUCGGAUAUCCAUCCGGGAUAAACCAACCGGGACAAAAGGAGGGGGGUCUUUAGUCCCGGGUCUUUUAACCGGGAGUAAAGACCCCCCUACGCCACCAGAAGAGUGAUCCUGGGGUCAUGGAUAGCAGAGUGACAGCACAUGCGGCAACAAAAGAGUGACAUGGAUAGAAGAGUGACAGUUCUCAACAGGCACAAACUUAUGACAUAUCGAACUACUCUCUUAGCAAUACUAAAUGCUAGGCUACAAAUAUAUUACUAAACUUGCAUAGAAACAUGAUGCUCAUGGGCACUGAGAUUUCCAUACCUACCUCGACUGAAGAGACUCUUAUUGUCCUUUUCUUGGGAAUAAUAUAUGCUAGGACACCAAUAUUUNNNNNNNNNNNNNNNNNNNNNNNNNNNNNNNNNNNNNNNNNNNNNNNNNNNNNNNNNNNNNNNNNNNNNNNNNNNNNNNNNNNNNNNNNNNNNNNNNNNNCGCGGUACUACCGUCUACGCGACGCAUGCAUGAAAAAUUCAGGCGCCACGCCAGCGCCACGCAGGCGCCAUUCAGUCCCCGUUGAGUCCCGGUUGGAUUUCCCAACCGGGACUCAACCGGGACUAAAUGGCGCCUGCAUGGCACUGCCGUGGCGCCUGAAUUUUUCAUGCAUGCAUCACGUAUACGUAGUACCGCGGCCCUUUUAAUUUGUUAACCUUUAGUAGUUGAGAUUUUUUUAGAAUGAAAUCAACUAGUAUUUAAACGAAUGGGAUUUGUAAUUAUACAAUUACUAUAUAUAUACACAAUCCUUAUACACAAUUCAUAUACACAAUUCAACUAGCUUAGUACAAAUCGAUCAUAAUUAGCGCGUAUUAUAUAUACAAAUAAAUCAAAGUAUCUGUCUACAAUCUUCCCGUCGUGGUGUUGCUGAUCGGAGUGUCUAAUUGUCGUCCAUCGUAAUAAAAUUCUCCUUUUGGAUCUACCACCUCGUCCAUUAUGAAUCCAAUGAGACCUUCACAUAUUGCCGCUACUCUUUCUUCCUUCAAGAGUCCUUGUUGAAUAUUUAACAUCUAUAAUUUGGAAAUUUGUGAAUGUUACACGAACAAAUACAUAUAAGGAGCUAGAAAAUAAUUAACUAGUAAUAGUUUUAUUUUACAUACUUUAAAGUUGUGCGGCGUCAUCUUCGGUCCCUUGGGUCCCAUAAAACUGUGCAUGUGCUCACAGAUGUAGUAGCCACAUAGAUUAUUCCCGGGUUCCUGUCUUAAGCACUUCAGUGCGGAAAAAAAUAAGUUAUGAAAUAUUCGUGUUAUACAAUGUAAUAAAUGUGCAGACUUCAUACGUACCGGGAAGUCUGUGUUCCAUGUAAGUUUUUCUUUGAAUGGACCUUUGUGUGUCCUUAUGAAUUGUUUCCAUGCGCUGCGGAUUAGAAUAAUGAAUGAUAUAGUGUAACAGGGAUAAAAUUUAGGAAAUAAACUUUUGCAUGGAGAUAAAGGUCCAGAAUUAUUACAAGCCUAGCAUGUCUUGCAAUUCUUGGUAGUCCACCGGAUCUUUCCGUAACGAAUCAAAGACAGUGACGUGGCUUCUUUCAGGCUCAAUUAUAAUAAGGAUCCAGUGGAAGCUGCGUGCGUAAAAUGUUCAUGCAUAUUAGAGCUAACUAACAUGUAGAGAUAAGGAAAAAGACAUCAAAAGUAGACGGUAUACACACACUUACUUGAAGUUGUAUGGAAGUAGUAUGAAAUCCUUGAAUGUUUGUUUGUCUAGGAAGUUGUAUAUUUCCGCAAAGGUUUUUUCCGGAGCUAAUUGUAUCUGUUGUUGGUUAACUACAGAUGGAUCCAUGAAGCCUAUAUGUAGGUACGCCUCUCGGCGGCAUGUCUGAAUUAGCAUCCUACAUGAAAUGGAAGAUGAAGUUAGUACGGUGACGCACGCCAAAAUUUACAUGUAGAGAUAAACGGACACUUGCAGAAUCCAAGCGCUGAUCAGAGAGACGUCCAGGGCAUCAUGAUGGUACACUUCGUAUAUAUCCUUGAAGUCUAGCCACAGCACUUUCUCCCCUUCACCGUGAAAAUCUAUCGGUUUUACCUUCAUGCCGAUCAUCUCCCUCGAGUCGGCGGAUGCCAUCAUGUACCAUUGAUGGAAUGCGUACAUCUUUGUUGAUAGCUUCCGUACCAAUGAAGGCUUUACUAGAGGUUUGCCUAGCUCAUAAGGCCACUUCGGCUCAGGGGGCGGUGCAGUUGGCGUCUCAACCUGCCCUAUGCAUUCAUCAAGUCCCAGACCUGUUUCUUCCAUGAACUUCAAUACAUUUGCUUGUUGAUCCAAGGGCAUUGCUUUUACCCGUUGAGCAUCUUUUUUUGAUAAAUGGCUGAGGUCGGGGACUGGACCGCUGGAAGAUGACUUUCCUUUCCUUUUAUCCUUUUCAUCAGCCUUUACUAGAGCCCAUUCAUAGUUUGACAAGAGUGGUAUCCUUUUCUUGGCUCCUUCUUCCAUCCUGAUAAAAAAGUUUAAAUCUCGCCGACUUACUGGCGGUGGCUCCAUCUCCCUUGCUUUUUUUUCUUCGGCUUGUUUCUUGAACCACUCACUGGCCUCUCGUUGGAUUUCUGCCCACUGUUCCGCAUGAGACAUUGCCUCAAAGCGUUCCUUACGAGUCACUUCAGGCUCCUUUGUUUUCUUCUUUCUCUGUCUUUGCUUGGGAGGCGGUGCUCGUGACUUCUUUAGUGGUGGUGCAGGUUCCUUCAAGGGGGCCGCUCUUGGUGCCGGCGACGGUGAUCGGGGAGGGGUGUUGUUAUUGUCGUCGUCGCUCCCAGCACCAGGAUGUGGUGGAGAUGGAGACCUUGAUAUAGAUGGAAGGGACGGUCCUGGAGCAGGAGAUGACGGUCUCGAGGUAUGAGGAGAAGGUCGCUGCUGGGGAUCUACGGGGAGCGGUCUUGAGGUCUGAGGAGAUGGCUCCGUGCCGGGAAUAAUGAUGUAGCGUUUUUGCCAUAGAAUGAUCCCAUGAAGCGCAUCUGCCAAUGUCUUUCCCCGUCGCCUCCCGGGAAGUCGAGCUCUAGACCUUCAUACUGGGGAUCAACUAUUUGCUCUACGCAGACGCUGGCGUAGCCUGUUGGAAUUUCCAUGCCAUGACUGCUCUGCCCCGCCAGGGUUGCUAACGCACUCCCGUACGCUACCUAUACAUAUAGCAGAAGUAAACAAGUUGAACUCCGAUCUUGAGGCCUGGAUCAAUUGACAAGAUUGCAUAAAUAUUAUGUAUAAGUAUACCUUAAUAGUGAGGUUGCCGACCGGUGCAUGCAGCUCACAUGAGGUCCGUUGUGUGAUGGCAUCCACGGGGAACCGUUGCUCCUCCACGGGUAACCUGGGCGUCUGCGCAUCGGGGACCCCUGUAGAAGCACAACUGCUCAAGAGGCGUUGAGAAGGGCUGGCGGUGUUAGGAUUUGGCAAUGCUCCAGAUUGGGCCAACUCCGCAACUGCGUGGGCCACCCGCCGAUUGAUUUCAUCCAUCAUUCUUUGUUCUAGCAUCUGCCGCCAGCUCUCCUCGAUCUGUUCCUUUCUUCGCUUCCGGCUUCUGUACGAGGCGCUGUCGCCUCGGAAAGCAAACUUCCACGGAACCACCCCGAACCCUCGGCAACGUCCUGGGUGCUCUGGAUUACCGAGGGCCAAUGUGAGCUCAUCAUUUUCUCGGUCCACCUUCAACCUCCUAGCCUUAGAAUCUUCAAUGUUCUUCAUGAGAUGUUCGGCCUUCUCACAUAUUGUGUCAUUAAAAAUCAACGUCCCAUCCUCUUGGCUUAGGGAGCCUCCAUGAGCGUAGUACCAAUUUUUUGAUCGUUCGGGCCAUUCAAUAGUUGCAGGUACAAUUCUCCGUUCGAUCAGAUCUUGUUCCAUCUUCCUCCACUUGGGAAUUGCUGAGCCAUACCCACCUCGCCCCAAAUGAUGGUGGUAGCCCUUCUGACUAGCAUUUGCUGUGUUGGUCGUGAUCUUUUUCACACCUUCUUCACUCCUCUUAUAUUCAACAAAUGCAUCCCAGUGGUCCCUCAACUUUGGCCACGCGUUGAAGUCUGGAGUUCGGCCCUUCUUGAUGUAGUGGGUAUCCAGCAUCUUCUUGAAUGUCUGGAAUUGAGUAGCCAUCUUCUUAAGCGUCCACGCUUUGACAUCCUUCUCACUAUAUCCUUCGGGGAAUGUGAAAUGUCUCUUCACGUCUUCCCACAGCAUAUUCUUUUCUGUCUCUGGAAGGGCGUACGGAUUAGUGCUUCUGCCCUUCCAUUCUCUGAUGCUGAUAGGCACGUUGUCCCGGACGAUUGCCCCGAUCUGACUCACGUACUUCUUUGCUACUUUCUCGGGAGCAACCGGCCUGCCCUCUUCUGUCACUUCCGUGAUGACAAGCCUCCCUUCCAUCACCUUUGUAUGCCCUUGUGUCGAUCCGGAGGGCUAACAGUUCAAGAUUUGUUAAUUAGUACGUAGUAGUAACGGUGGCGUGAAACAAUACAAGAAUUGUUAUAUAUACCUCGCCGGAACCUUCCGCCACGGCAAGUUGUUGCUGCGGCUGUUGCUCUUCAUUCCCAUCGGCGGACAUGUUGAGGAACAUGUCCGCCUGGGUGCCCUCUUCAUCCGUGUAUGAUAGUGGAACGUUGUCGCCACUACCAUCACCAGCGAUUAUCUGCUCCAUGAUAUACCUUGCGGUCUCAUCGUCUGCCAUUUCAACUAUUGAUGGAAACAUACAUGGAAUCAUACAUGACAGUCAUAGAAAUCGUCUUACUACAAAUUUCUACAAAGUCCUACAAAGUCCGGAAUCAUACAUGUAUAUAAUGAAAUCAUAAAAUAACAUGAAUCCUACAAAGUCCGGAAUAUUUAUACAAAUUUCUACGAAUUUCUACGAAUUUCUACGAAUUUUGACGAAUUUUGACGAAUUUCUACGAAUUUCUACGAAUUUUGACGAAUUUCUACGAAUUUCUACGAAUUUAUGGUGCAUUUGUAGAAAAUGGUUUCAUUUAUGGUCGUGUGAUAAUAUGGUGUGACUGUAGGAACAUUUUAAGCAUGAUGAUUUAUUUAGUAUAAAAUGUAAAGUUAUUCACAGUAUUUGUUUCAUAAAUUAAACUUAAUAUAUAUCUAAAUAAAAUAUCAAAUAUUCCUGGUAUAAGGGAAAAUAGUAAUAAAACACAGACCAAUAUGAGAAAAGCAAAUUACUGUUACCUAGCCAGAGGGAUAAUCAUUUUGGAACUAGGGUAGAUAGUGGUUCCUAGGCAUGCGUGCAUGUUCAUUCCAAGCAUCAAAGCAAGCAAAAAUAUGGAUGACAAUAAUUUUGUCGCCAUAUCAUGAAAAUGACUGAACGGAAAACAUAAUUACAAACAAAAAAUUAAAAUGGUAAACCGGCCAUUUGGUCUCUAAGUUGGAUAUUUCUGUGACUUGAGAUAGCUUAUUUUGUACGACAUGUUGUGGCCAGCAAUAAUAAAUCCACCAAAGUCCUUGCGAGUAUAUGUGAGAAUAGCUGACAGGGUAACACUCCUGCUCCUAUUUGUCUUUCUGUGUCCAAUUGAUAUAUGUGCUAGGCAUCCCUCCUAAUUUGAUUGUUGUUAUGUACUGAAGCUGAUUAGCUAACCAUCCCAAUUAAUUUAAGUACUUAUUUCUUUUUUUCCUUUUAGAGGUUGCUGCUCAGUGUGUUGAAAAAUAUUGGUGUCCUAGCAUUUAUUAUUCCCAAGAAAAGGACUAUCAGAGUCUCAUCAGUUGAGGUAGGUAUGGAAAUCUCAGUGCCCAUGUGCAUCAUGUUUCUCUGCAAUUUUAGUAAAAUAUUGGUAGCCUAGCAUUUAGUAUUGCUAAGAGAGUACUUUCGAAUGUCAUAAGUUUGUGCCUGUUGAGAACUGUCACUCUUCUAUCCAUGUCACUCUUUUGUUGCCGCAUUUGCUGCACUGUGGCUAACGAUGACCCCAGGAUCACUCUUUUGGUGGCCUAGCAUGUAUACUUUCUUGUUGUUAAUAAUGUGGAUCUUGCAUUACAUCCAUUUUUAAGUAACAAAGGUCUGAUGCCCUGGUAUUGCAAUAUUUGAUUGGUCUUUCCUCACGAUUCCUUUUCUUUGUGAUGGAAUUGAUUUCAGAUGUGCAUGGCCUAAUCGUGUGAAAAAUACAUCGAAACAAUCAAGUUCACCAGCGUGAUUACUUUUCUUAUUACCGCAAUUUAGGUAGUUGUAUAGUACAGUAUCAUAGAUGAAUAAACAUUUAUGGUAGUUGUAUAGUACAGCAUCAUAGAUGAAUAAACAUUUGCAAAGAUGCUCUGAGAAAAAAUAGAUCUUUGCUUUUCUUUCCUAUCUUAUGGAUUAAAUAUGCUUUCUCUCCUAUCUCAGGUGCUCAGUGAACUCCAUCUUUUGCUGCUCUCAUGGUAGCUGUUUGUUACCAUGUUAAUCAGGUGGGAGAGUGGAUUUUGUUCUACACAGCUUGGAGCUACACAAUUGAAGUUUGGCACCUUCAAGCUGUUGAUAUUCAGGCUAUAUUGGUAUGUGCACUAAUGACUGGCUUCUAUUUUGUUAAGCUUGUCAUUUUUCAUGAUCUUUCUAUUAUUUGAAUGUAUUACAUAUUAUCAGUUGUUGUCUUAGUGUAUUAAAUGUAGUUUGCUAUUUUUUUGAGGUAAAUUACAGAGAGGUAAAUAAAUAUCAUCUGCUGCUCUGGUUUAUCAUCUCUAACUCAACAACAUGUUUUCUAGAGAGAAUUUUUUUGUUAGUAUUGGCCUCCGAACUGAUUUUUAUUUUUAUUUUUAUGAAAAUGGCAGGAUUAGAUGUGCUUCUUUUUUACUAUAUUGAUAUUUCACCUCUUUUGUAUAUUCUGUUAACAUUGUUAGUGCUGCAGCGAAGACAUGCCGAAUUAUGUAAAGCAACAGGCUGUCAUCAUCAGUCACUUUAGGUGAUAUUAUAAUGUAUGGAGGCAGCUGAUUUCAGUUACAUGAGUUUCUUAAUUACAGUUCUCUGAACUUGGCAGGCGCAUCACCUCUAUUACUUCUGCGUUCGGAGAUGACUACUUAAGCGUGCAGAAGCACUAGCUGCUUUGAUAUUUGUUAGGUAACCACCAACCAUGUUUUCAGUGCCAUGAUGAUCGAUUGUUUAACCAUUCAUUUCACACUGGUCAUGUUGACUAAAUGUAUUUAUCAUAUUAUUCGUUCUACUGUCAGCUCUACAAGAACAAUGAGAAAUCUAGAGCUGUUCUCCCCAUAAUGAUUUUUAUUAUAUGUUCUUUCCUGAACCCCUUUAGGUGUAUAACUAAGUGAUGCUUUUGGAAUGAUCUGUUAGGAUAUGCUGAAUAGACAAGUUUUGUGCCACUCAUUGGUUUAAAAUCGAUCUUACAAAUUUGUCAUCAACCAUUGCUACUGUGGGUCCAGCAAGCAGUGUGUUCUUAAAUGUGAGUGCCUUGCCGAUAUACAUUAGUUUGCUUCCUGCAGCUAUGAGAAACCAAGUGCUAUCAUGGAAUUGUGCGGUCGUUUUCUCUUCGCGAUGCAAUGAUCUUUUCCUGGGGAGGCUUGCCAGGGUGCUGCUGCUUUGUGCCUUGACAUGGCUGCAUCUUCCAUCCGCACAAGUAAAGAUAGGAGGUGUGGCUCAUGGAACGGUUGAGGUAAUGCCUUCCGCAUCCUUUAUGUCUGUGUUGAUAUGUGCAACAGUGGUAGUCGUGGGAAGCGGAGUAGAAGAAUGCAAGAUUCCUCAAGCAUCAGAGGUCCACCAAGAUCUCUUUGGUGCGAUAUGGCCACUGCACGCAACAUGUUUGUUGAAAUGCCUAGAGGAAGAGAGCCCGACUGACGGUGACUGUUGUAUUUCCCUCUUGGAAGAUUUAACAUUCAAGGUGUGUAAUAUUAAAGUAUAUUGAAUGUAAAUUGUUUUUAGUGUUGAUGUGACAUAGAAUAUGGCAUAUCGCAUCGUGUGAACUUUAAGAAAUAUACACUAUUUUUUGUUUUAUUUGCAUUAUGAAAUAUUACGUACCGUAGCAUUAGCAUGGGCAUUUUACCGUACAUAUAUCUACCUAAUAUUAAAUUACGGUUGUUUAUUCCAACCGUCAUGGUUGUUUUGCAUUCCAACCGUCAUGGAAUAUGUCUGGACGAUUUUGAAAAAGAUCCUGACCCAAGGUCUAGCCGUUGCUCUGUUCUUUUGUCCUGCCCACAUAGCGUGCUUGCCGGCGGCGGCUCGGGACACGCGCAACUGCUCCAUUGCUCGCGUGGCCAACUCUCCUCGCACUCACCACGCACUAUUGCUGCUCAUCCGGGACCUCACACUCUCAAUCACGUCUAUCCCCUGCAUAUCCAGAACUAAGGUCUCCACAUCUAGCAAUUGGGGGUUCGAUUUUGCACUUGAUUGGAAUGAUUUGGAGUGGAUUAUAGAAGGGAGGUGAAUGGAAAUGAGAAGAAGAGGAGAACACACUACUACUCAUGGCGGCCGGAGGCGAUGUGGCCUAUCGCUCGAAGCAGGAACGAGGCUAGGCACGGGGAGGAUGAGUGCUUGCCUGGGCGAUGGCAAGGACGGCAAGAUGCGCAUCGCCUGGGCGACGACGAGAUGGGGUAAAAUGCGGGUGGCGCCAAUGGACGAAGAGGCAGUGAUUGGCUGGAUGAUGACGAGUACGAGGGAAAUCGAAUGGAUGGAUAGAGCGGAGGUUAAGCAGUGAAUUUUUUUUUGUUUCCAUAUGUUGGUCCCAUGUAAUAAACACAUAGCAUCAAACCACCCACAAAUUACUGGCAAUAUUUUGUGAAGCGAAACUAAGAUAUUAGGAACAAGCGAAUAAUAAUGUGAGAGUAAGUAAGGAUCCGUAGCAACGCAUGGGCAAUUCUACUAGUAGUAAUAAAACACAGACCAAUAUGAGAAAAGCAAAUUACUGUUACCUAGCCAGAGGGAUAAUCAUUUUGGAACUAGAGUAGAUAGUGGUUCCUAGGCAUGCGUGCAUGUUCAUUCCAAGCAUCAAAGAAGCAAAAAUAUGGAUGACAAUAAUUUUGUCGCCAUAUCAUGAAAAUGACUGAACGGAAAACAUAAUUACAAACAAGAAAUUAAAAUGGUAAACCGGCCAUUUGGUCUCUAAGUUGGAUAUUUCUGUGACUUGAGAUAGCUUAUUUUGUAGGAAACAAGGAAUGUUAACACACUUUUGUACCAGACAUCCAUAGUUAUCGCACUUCUCACAAACUUGAUGCUUAUGCUAUUAUCCUCCUCAUCACAGAGGGUCCGCUCGUUGUUAGUGCUCAUGGUGUACAUGUUUUACUAAUUUUAGUAACAACUUUUGCUAUAUUCAUACCAAAAAUGCCACUUGGCAUUUGACAUUGAACCCAUUUUUGUAACAUUAAACUUUGGUAAUAUGUUCAUGGAUGAACAUGCUUUGGUCUAGAACUUCACUAAAUCGGCCCCUAUAAUUGGUGAAAUUUGAAAGUUUCGUGAACACAUGAUACUACAUGAAGGAAGUUGUGUAAACAUUGAAUUAUUAAACCUUAUCAUCGAGUUAAAACUAUGAACAACCUAAUAUAUGAAUUAUUGUUACAUGAUAUAAAUAAAAUAAUCAAUGAGCACUGAGUUAUAUGAGACCUAGUGAGAUAAUCAUCCAGACUAGGGUAUAUAGUGGAUCUUUGGCACGCGCUUACUUUUCCUAAUAGCAACUUUUUGAAAAACAAGUGAAGAAGUUGGGCAGCAAUAUUUUUGCACUGAUACACCAAAAUUAGUCAGUUGAUUGGCGUGUUGGCAAAUAACUCACAUUUGACUGUCAGAAUUGUAUUGAAAAUACCAUUCUUAUAUAAUUUGUCAUGUCUAUUAGAUGAAAAAUUAUUUUGAAAAAACAUAUCUUGUCAAUUGUUGAAAACAUGGUAAGUGGCAAUUUUAUAUUAAAUACUAUUGAAAAGCUAAUUGCAUAUGACGUGAUUUUUAAUCCAAAUUAACUGUUGGUUAUUGAAGAAUCUAAUCUUACAAAGAUCUUAGUGUCUGUUUAGCUGAGAAAAGUCCACAAUGACAAAAACAAUCGUCACACAACACAUGAUUUUGUGAAGCAUCAGAUUACCUUAACAGUGUUUUGUCAAUAGCUUUGUAGGUAACUUUCUGUAGCUUGCAGGCAGAAUUAUUGUGUCGAUAUAAUGGGUCAUCAUUACUAAAAGAUAACUUGACCUCAAAUGCCACAUGAUUUUAGCAAAGCAUUAGAAAAAUAUAUUUCCUUUACUUGUGUUAAGAUAUAGUACUCUGGCUAUAAAUAUGGCCAUAAUAUUGUUUAAUACAAUUCAUACCUGACUUCCACACCAAAGGAGCGAGAGUGUUCACGAAGGUUAGUUUCUGUGUUAAGUUAUUGCAUGCAUGUACUACUAAAGUAGUAACAAUUGUUUUCUUAUUAGUUUUUAGUACUUAAAGCCGGUGUGAAUCUCUUGUGAUCUUACAUCAUGUUCAUGUGCUCAUCAGGGUAAUCAUGAUCAUCAAAUUUGCAAAACCUACACUUGCUGCCGUCAUGGUGAUCCUUUUAGUAGGUACCGCAGUUGUUGAUGCCCAAGGGAAUGCUGAAGCCGAAUUUACUCUUCGAGGGAUCAAAACAAAUAAUCCUACUACGUUUGGUGACAAUAUUCCCCACUCUAGUGACAAGGAAAAACGAAAACAGCUAACCUCUGCCCGUGUACUAGCGCAUGUACUAUCUCGUGAAGACUACUGCAAGAUGUUUAAAUGUCCUUAGUGAAAAAUGGGAUAUACCUAUGGAUGUCCUGGAGUAACAGCAGCUUUCUUCAGGGCCAAUGUUAAGGCCAGUUAAUAGAAUAAAGCACCAGGACUUAAUCAUAAAUGUGAAAAUAUGUACACACUGAACCCUUCUAUGUCAAUGGAAGACUGGUCAUAUAUAAUAAAAUGAAAGUACGUUAACUCUUGUGUUAUGGACUACUUUGUUGUUAGCUUAUUUACUCCGCUAUUGUUUGAAAUGUGUUAUCAUGUAUACACACAUUAGACUGUCUUCCUUGAAUAAUUUUUAUCCAAUGUUCUUGUAGUGUUGAUAUAUUCGAAAUUAUUACUGUAAACACAGCUUACAAAUGAUAAUGUUAUAAUUGAAUUCUGGGAUCUAACGAUUCUUAAUGCUGUAAUGCCUGCUAGCUCAUCACAAGUUUAGGGGGUGUUUGGUUUGGGGCUG